This is a non-coding RNA of Pelobates cultripes (western spadefoot toad), 2302 nucleotides long. Lineage: Eukaryota; Metazoa; Chordata; Amphibia; Anura; Pelobatidae. The record is from the annotation of a GenBank genome assembly.
CGACAGCCUCAGAACGGACGUGACGCAACUGCUCCGUAAGGACUUUGCGGAAGCGGAUCUGUUGCCUCGAGAAAACGUGGCUGGUGUCGCUGAUUGUGUUACAGGUGGUGGAUAAGCAGCCAAGCGCGAUGUUUCUGCAGUUUUACUUGAACGAACAAGGGGAGCGAGUGUACACCAUGAAGGUGAGACCCGGGCUGCUCCCACAGAGCUUUAUUGUGGGGAAGGCAUGGGCAGGAGUCCUGUACUAAUCUGUAGGUCAGAAGGUGGAGGAGACAUUCAUAUUACAGUGUCUGUUCAUUAAACUAUGGGGUUAUGAACUACCUUGACCGCUAUAACUACUAUAAUAAAUGCUAUGUAUCUUAGCAAGGAGAGGGGAGAUCAGUGGGCUGAGUGGAUAAAAUAAAAAAAUAUCGAGAGACCUCUAGGAGUCCAAGGAAAAUAAGAAUAACUCUAGUUCUACGGAAUUUUCUCUGCUAAUAUAGGCAGAUAGGCUUCCUAGUCAAAACCGUAUUAUAUAUAUAUAUACCUGUGAUUGCUUACUAUGUAAGGUGUUUUCAAUCUUUGUCUCUCAAUGACUGAAUUAAAGGUUUUUUUGUUUGCAAUGUAAAUGCUGCUUUUUUUUUAGAGAUUGAAGUGAUUAGUAACACCUCAAUAGCCUCCCAUUGUUUUCCUAUGGUAAAGCAUUGGAUUGGCUGUGAUCAAAAUUGAUCACAGCAAUGGAGGCAGGGCAGGAGAAAAGGUGAGGUUAAAAAAUAAUAAAAAACUCUCUCUCUCUCUCUCUCUCUCUCUCUAUCUAUCUAUCUAUCUAUAUAUAUAUAUAUAUAUAUAUAUAUAUAUAUAUAUAUAUAUAUAUAAAAAAAUUUUAAACUUCUCAGCAAAGUGGGCCAUCACCUAUACAGCCACUUCAGAUCUAUUGUGUUAGAAUAAAUUUUAUUUAUAGAAUGUCUUACCAGGAAUUAUGCAUUGAGAUUUCUCUCGUUUUCAAGUAUGUCCUGAAUGCUGGGUAUGUCAUGUUUGACUGUCGUGUUCCAUAAGAAUUCUUCUUUUCCAUGUUUGUGUCAAGCAUUCUUCUGUAGAUUAUGUUUGUAAAAGUCAUGUAUUGUCAGUUAGUACAUGUUUUAACAUCGUUUUAUUUGUUUGUGGUAUUUAAAUAAAGUGACUUUUUUUUUUUUAUGUAACCUCUUUUCUGUUCAGCCACACUACCUUACUGUAAAUCUUGCUUAAAGGGAUAGGACAUAUAAUGGCCAUCAUACAUGUAACAUGUCAUUUCAAAGGACAUAUAAUUAAAUGUGUAUAGUGUUAGCAAAUGGAUAGAGUAAGACAGAGAAAAAGUGAAUUCUAAUUAGGUCUUUUGCCCACCUGUUAAUUAAUGUUAUCAGUUCUUUGGCACAGACUCCAUGCCCAAAAACUGUCUGACAGAGCACGACAAAACUCCCACAGGCAGUUCUUGUGCAUAUCAAGCACAUGCGAUGUGUGUUAUGGUAACUCCCUGGCCAACUCUGCUAAUGCUGCCAAUUAAGUUUUGAAACAGUGACUGUCACUCCACUCAGAUCCUGGAAAUGAACCCAGGAGGUUUGUGUUGCUUGGGGAAAGUAAUCAAAGAGUAAAGCAGGUGGAUGCCUGGUCGACCAGAGGUUGGUAUUACAGAAAAUUAACAUGAGGAAAUGGUGGUACUGGAUCCAGUCUCUGAUAUGUUCAAUGCAAACGGAGUGAAUUAACAUGAACCUGUCAUGGUGGGCUCCUUCUAAAUUCCUUUAGUCCUGUGCAGCUUUGGGGGGGAAAGCAAAAAACUCUGUCUAAUGUAUCUGUUACUUGGUCGGUUUUAUUAUAUUUGCCCAGCAGCUUGUCAGGUGGUGGCUGUAAAAACUAAACAUGAAUUUGUUGGUUAUCUGAAGAAUUUAGUUCAUAGUACUGACAUGGUUAUUUAUUUUCAGAAAGUGGCUCCAGAUGGUCAGCCAACUUCCUCUGCUCACCCUGCCCGCUUUUCUCCAGAUGACAAGUAUUCCAGACACCGUAUUGCAUUAAAGAAAAGAUUUGGCCUCUUGAUGACCCAGCAGCCCAGACCUAUUUUGUGAGCCAUCUAUGUAGACUUACCAGUGAAGUGGAUUCCCCUUACAGUUUCAUCAAUGUACAAGACAUGACAUUUUACAGCCGACAUAGCUGGGACAUUCUUUGAUUCGGAGAGAGCAAUUUUUAUGUUUGUUCCACCAUAAAGCCAUUUCAGUGACUGAAUCUACUAUUUUCAUCUAUUAAAUGACAACUUUUUUUUACUAUCCAGUGUUUGUUUUAUUUUUAUAGGUCU